CCUACGGGUGGCUGCAGUGAGGAAUAUUGGUCAAUGGCCGGAAGGCUGAACCAGCCAAGCCGCGUGAAUGACGAAGGUGCCAAGCAUUGUAAACUUCUUUUGUCAAGGGACAAAAUCAGGCUCGAGAGCCUGACCGAGGGUACUUGAAGAAAAAGCAUCGGCUAACUCCGUGCCAGCAGCGGCGGUAAUACGGAGGAUGCGAGCGUUAUCCGGAUUUAUUGGGUUUAAGGGGUGGGUAGGGGGGCGGUUAAGUCAGCGGUAAAACCCCGGGGCUCAACCCCGGCGAGCCGUUGAAACUGGCUGUCUUGAGAUGUCGAGAGGUAUGCGGAAUGCGAAGUGUAGCGGUGAAAUGCUUAGAUAUUGCGAAGAACUCCGAUUGCGAAGGCAGCAUACCGGCGGCGAUCUGACGCUGAGGCACGAAAGCGUGGGUAUCGAACAGGAUUAGAUACCCGUGUAGUC
RNAcentral lists this ribosomal RNA (459 nucleotides) under uncultured bacterium. RNAcentral describes it as "partial 16S ribosomal RNA". It matches the Rfam family "Bacterial small subunit ribosomal RNA", at positions 338 to 795 of the family's 1533-position model. The record is from RNAcentral.